AGCGUUCACGUUAGGGUCACACAAUCAAUUACCUCCUGAAUGUAUCGUCUCUAUUUCCAAUAUUUGAACACACAAGGAAACUAUAAUCUUCUUCUUCACCUUAUUGGUCUCUUCCUUAUAGUAAUUCAAUUAUAUCAAUAACUGCUAUUUCCACCAAUAUAUUCACCCUCAUAAUCUCCAACUGUAAUACUACGCCCUCACAGCUUUCAACAUACAAUUAUCCUCAUUCCAAUCACUGGAAUUCUUCACACAGAACUACCAUUCACAUUACGGUAUUUCACAUAAACAUAGACUCAUUCUCUCUGCUAAACUACAAUCAGAUUUCAACAUUCAAUCUUUCUUCUUUUCAAAUAAUACGAAUCACAUUUCCAUUCCAUAAUUCACUUCACAAUAUUCAAAAACUCUCAAUCCUCUUAUUCAAAGAAAAUAACAAACAAAAGAAAAGAGGUAGCACCAAGCUUACCCUGGUUCACAACUAUCACAGUGAUGGCACCUUAAUUAAAUUCUAUAACUCCUAUAUACUUUUCCGUGAUUCUCUAGAUUCUAAUCAUAAUUUUGUAAUUAACGACUUUUAAGAACUAAAUCACUCAUCCGUCCUCCUGAAUUUCCUAUUAUAUGGACUAUUAAUAUAUUUUACCAAUAUCUUUCAAAAACGAAUUAAUAUCUAUUCUAUAUAGCCUCACUCCUAUCUGUGCAACGUCCUCACAAACACUCAAUUUAUACCUAUCUAAAAAUUAUCUAACAAAACUCUACAAAAAUUACGAUCCCUCUAGCCUAUCUAAUUAAUCAAUUGC
RNAcentral lists this long non-coding RNA (794 nucleotides) under Physcomitrium patens. RNAcentral describes it as "long non-coding RNA (PPAT_LNC002861)". The record is from RNAcentral. Lineage: Eukaryota; Viridiplantae; Streptophyta; Bryopsida; Funariales; Funariaceae.